Molecule: unclassified non-coding RNA, 2760 nt
Filed under: Camponotus floridanus (Florida carpenter ant)
Lineage: Eukaryota; Metazoa; Arthropoda; Insecta; Hymenoptera; Formicidae
Description: mitogen-activated protein kinase kinase kinase 7, transcript variant X2
Source: RNAcentral
AAUAGCAAUGUCCUUCGACUCGAUACUGGAAAAUGGCGAUCUGCGAGGUUGUUUGAAGCUUAAUUUCGAUAAACACACUCACGGACUCGCAACUCGUUGGUUAAAUGUGCCCUGAAAAUCAUGUGACCUGGACUGUGUGCGAUGGCGAGCAAAGAGAUAAUCGGCCAUCAGCAGCAGUUCGUUGAGGAAAUCGAUUAUAAUGAAAUCAAAACUGAGCAGGUAGUAGGCAAAGGUUCCUUUGGAGUCGUCUGGAAAGGACGGUGGAGAGGACAAGAUGUCGCUGUGAAACACAUAAAUUCGGAAGGAGAAAGAAAAGCCUUCACCGUGGAAGUUCGACAACUAUCCAGAGUUGCCCAUCCCAAUAUUGUUAAACUGUACGGUGCGUGUACCAAAAAUCCAGUAUGCUUGGUUAUGGAGUAUGCAGAAGGUGGAUCAUUGUAUAAUGUACUGCAUUGUAAUCCGCAACCGCAUUAUACUACUAGUCAUGCUAUGAGUUGGACUCUUCAGUGUGCACGCGGAGUUGCGUAUCUUCAUAAUAUGAAACCAAAACCAUUGAUACACAGAGAUCUAAAGCCACCUAAUCUGUUAUUAAUUAUGGGUGGACAGAUGCUUAAGAUCUGUGAUUUUGGCACAGCCUGUGAUUUACACACAUACAUGACUAAUAAUAAAGGGUCAGCCGCAUGGAUGGCACCAGAAGUAUUUGAAGGAUCUAAAUAUACGGAGAAGUGUGAUGUAUUUAGUUGGGGUAUUAUUUUGUGGGAAGUUUUAGCACGUCAAAAGCCCUUUGAUGACCUUGCGCCAUUGGGCGUUUCAGCCUUUAGGAUAAUGUGGGCUGUUCAUGUAGGACAAAGGCCUCCUUUAAUAGAAGGAUGCCCGAAACCAAUCGAAGAUCUUAUGACCAGAUGUUGGCAGAAAAUACCUGAGGAAAGACCUUCCAUGGACGAGGUAGUAAGGAUAAUGACCAAGCUAUCAGAAUUUUUCAAUCCCCAUUUAGAACCUAUUGAAUAUUCUUUAAGUAGCGAAGCUGAUAAUAUAGAUGAGAAUGAUGCAUCGAGGGAAGAUACAUUAGAUAUAGCCAGUACAUUAGAUUCUGGGAUGAAUGGUUCCGUUGCAAACGGUACUAUUUGUACAAUUCCAAAGCCCUUAGAAAAAGCUAACAAAUGCUCUAAUAUAGAGAAAUCAUUGCCUUUUGAAUUAUAUCACGCAACGCCAUUCGGCGACAUGCCGAAAAGUUUCUCGCCACGACCAAAUAAUUUAGAGUUUCGACGAGUGCCUGACGAGUGUCCGAUAUCGAAUAAUCAUUUUCCUGGGAAUGUGGAUAGUAAUUUAGAACACGCCAAAUCGUCGAUCUCGCAAAAUGCAGCAAUACCGACGGCAUACGAUGACAAGUUCGCCGCGCUACAACGCACAAAUUGCAAUUUUGCUCCGUUACAUGUGGAGUGCGAUCCGCACUCUUGGGAUUUACCGAGCUCUUCUGAAACAUCUUGGGAAAUUCCAAAUAAUAUGGCCGGAUUAGAUAAAGUGGUACAGAAAACGAAGAAAAAUAUUCAAAGUAGCAGCACUACGAGCGAAGAUUUGGGUAACGUCUGUCGCCUGUUGGACGCCGACCUGAGACCUCUUACGCCCGAUGACACGUGCAAACGUUCGCGAGAGAUCUUCGAGGAGCACAAGCAGAUAGCGCAGGAGUAUCUCAAGGUGCAAACGGAGAUAGCGUUGUUGAGCCAGCACAAGAACGAGAUGUUGAAGAAUUUGAGUCUCGACAGUCUUAGACAACAGCAGGAGUUGCGAGAGCUCGAAGAUGAAAAGGAGUCAUUGCUGAAACUAUGUUACAACCUACAGCGGCAAUUGGAGAUCAUGAAGGAUCAGAGGAUCAAGGGAGCGUUGACGAAUGCCGCCGCUGCCGCCGCCGCUGCUGCCGCUGCCGCGCCAACGAUAGGACCCGCCGUUUCCGGAAACAACGGUUGGGUGGUGGUACCGCGUCCAGACCCGUCGAGGCUCUCCUGAGGUUUCACGUGUAUCCAAGGGUCUCGACAAGAAUGUACUUACAUGUCAUGUUCUGCGAUCGGCCGGCAAUGCGUGACACGAAUGGAAUCAUACACAUUGUAAUUCCAAUUCAAUCUUACGCGAAUACAAAUCGCGUCGCUUACUACCGAUAAAGUCAUGGCUACGCGAAUCUGUAUGAUUAUCUAGCGAAAAGCGAUCUGACUUUGUCACUGGACUGGGUAUCCAGACACGACGAAUGGAGACUGUGUAAUUGACUUCCGAUCUUGCAUGGUACAUCUGAAGGCGUGGUAUCAGAUACACAUUUAUAAUAUUCAGAUCAAACGAAUUGUGAAGAUAAAGACGCUGUUUAAAUCGUAGUAAAUUAACGUGCAGGAGUGUUUCUGUUUUUAUCGAAUCAAAUAAAGGACUGUCUGUAAUGCGAGACAAAUAUCAAGACAAAUUGUUACAUGUAUAUAUAAAAAAAACCAAAAUAGAGCGCAAGAAAAAAAUGUCGAUAAAAAAAUUCUCGCGCAUCAAAAUCCCAGUUCAAAAAAAAUCUUGGACUUUUGUUGUUUUCCGCGUCCCAAAAUAUAUAUAUUCCUAUAUUUUAAAUAUAAAGUCUCUCAGAAUUCCCAUCAUUUCACGACUAAAAAGGGAGAUGAAGAUGUACAACAAAGUAAUUACAUUCAGACAAUUUUUUCAACGAGUUCCUUCCCGAGAAUCUGUAAAUUGUUACCUGAGCUUUAUGUGAAUACACAAUAUGUAUAUGUACAAAUG